CAUCUUCAUAGAAAUGAUAUGAGCAUGUAUUGAGCAUCUUUAAGAGGCUCUCUAUUUUUUAAAGAGUAUUAUAUAAUUUAUAAAGCAUCUAUAACUUUAAAGAAUAACAAUUUAUAGCUAAAUUCAUAAGGAAUCUUCUCUAGUUUUUUGCAAAAUCUCAACACCAGUCGUUCAAGUACAUGGAAAUGAUCAUUUAGGGAAUCUCAUUGUCCAAGAUCUGACACAAUAAUUCAAGGAAUUUGAGCUUUUGGAGCUCAUUAUCCUUUGUGUUCCAGGUUAUCCCUCAAAGACAUCCAACUCUAAUUUCAGAAUCUUAAAGUUUGGCGCCUUAAUGUUGCCCCAAUAAUCAAAAUAUUUGUGUGGAGAAGUUGUAACUUCACAUUAAUUUACUUACAAUAAAGAAGUUGUAACUUCACGUCAACUACAAAGAAAAUAAUUGCGAACAAGAAAAACAACUAACAAUUGACAUGGAGCCCAAAAUUAUUUUCUAAUCAUGAGGUGUGGGAUGUAAAGGAAUCUCUUGCAAGGAAAUUAAAAAAUUUUGAAAAUGAAUAAUAAAAAUAUUUAUUUCAGGAACAAAGAAAAUGAUGGGAUGAGCUUUGACUU
This 606-nucleotide long non-coding RNA is filed under the name Olea europaea (common olive). RNAcentral describes it as "long non-coding RNA (OEUR_LNC007665)". Lineage: Eukaryota; Viridiplantae; Streptophyta; Magnoliopsida; Lamiales; Oleaceae. The record is from RNAcentral.